AUUUUUCACUGUCUACUGUAAGACGAGCAAACAAAAUUAAUAAACUUUCUUUUUGCUAGAUAAUUUGAAUACCAAAGUAAUAAUAUCAUGGGUAUUAUUGAGUGCCGUGUUUUUUGUUAUUUCGAAUUCGUUAGAGACUGACGAUCAAUUUGAAAAUAUAGAUCGGCAUGCUGACUCUCAAGGAAAACGGGAAAUUAUCGAAAUAAAAAUUCCACGAAGACGUAAACGAUCAGUUGAUUCCACAAUUCGUUUUCCACUUAAAGCAUUUGGCCGAGAUAUAAAUUUAAAUCUAC
This is a long non-coding RNA of Microplitis mediator, 293 nucleotides long. RefSeq lists it as uncharacterized. NCBI's taxonomy places the organism in Eukaryota, Metazoa, Arthropoda, Insecta, Hymenoptera, Braconidae. The record is from RefSeq and is a predicted model, not a curated record. The transcript is spliced from 3 exons.